This is a non-coding RNA of Lentinula edodes (shiitake mushroom), 88 nucleotides long. The record is from Rfam. NCBI's taxonomy places the organism in Eukaryota, Fungi, Basidiomycota, Agaricomycetes, Agaricales, Omphalotaceae.
CCGACCUUAGCUCAGUUGGAAGAGCACAAGACUGUAAAGGAUAUCUAAUGGCAUCUUGGGGUCGCCUGUUCGAACCAGGCAGGUCGGA